AUCAGAUUUAGUUUCUUUGUGUGAGUGCUGAAACAUGAUGGGGUUUAUUCUCAUUGCUGUGGCUGUGCUCAGUCUUCUGUCUGGUGGUUGGUCAGCUCCUGUGACCAACUGUGAUGACCUAACCCAGAUUAUUGAGAUCCAAGGAAGAGAGCAGCUGCUGGGUAGAUGGACGAGCUUAGCAGAAAGCACA
Larimichthys crocea (large yellow croaker) is the source of this 190-nucleotide long non-coding RNA. RefSeq lists it as uncharacterized. The transcript is spliced from 2 exons. The record is from RefSeq and is a predicted model, not a curated record. Lineage: Eukaryota; Metazoa; Chordata; Actinopteri; Sciaenidae.